Molecule: long non-coding RNA, 576 nt
Organism: Rhineura floridana
Lineage: Eukaryota; Metazoa; Chordata; Lepidosauria; Squamata; Rhineuridae
Exons: 4
Source: RefSeq, a predicted model, not a curated record
CUGUGUAACUAAAUCUUGAUGCCAUUUGAGGUUGGGAAAUGCAGACAGGUGGCCAAAUAUCUAAUUAUUUCAGUUCUUAUGAAAACUACUAUUGCAAAGAGAGAGCAUGGAUGUUGUUUAUUAAAUCCCAUCUUUUUCUUCAACAAAGGCAUGACAUCCCUAGGUUUGACUUAUAAUCUAAUAGGAGAUCUGUCAUUAGCAUUCCACAGUAUCCAUGGAGAAGACGAAGCAGAAUGCUUUCAUUAAUUGUCAGGAAACUGAUGAAGACCUUUAUGUUGAAAAAUGCUGUUGGGCAGAUUUUGAAAUAUACUACACAGGAUUUGGCCUGUUAAGGAAGGACUCAUUAUUGAUUUUGUAUGACAUCAGCCAUGAAAAUUCUAGAAGUGUCUCCUUUGGCUCCACCAUACAGCCAAGUAAUUGAAGAAAGAAUAGAGCUGACUUUGAUCUCUGUGAGGUGCUAAUUUGAAAGAUCUGGGGACUGUUAAGAACUUAGGAAGCAAGGAAGCAGUACAUAAACAAUGACCUUUAUCUCGAAGGCCAUUACUGACGCAUUACUCUCUGGAUACAUUCAUUUAU